Non-coding RNA from Ictidomys tridecemlineatus (thirteen-lined ground squirrel), 69 nucleotides. Lineage: Eukaryota; Metazoa; Chordata; Mammalia; Rodentia; Sciuridae. The record is from Rfam.
GGGGCUGUGGCUCAGUGGUAGAGCGCUCACCUUACAUGUGCAAGGCCCUGGGUUCGAUCCUCAGCACCA